Molecule: ribosomal RNA, 1063 nt
Filed under: Dangeardiella macrospora
Lineage: Eukaryota; Fungi; Ascomycota; Dothideomycetes
Description: SSU rRNA
Rfam family: Eukaryotic small subunit ribosomal RNA
Source: RNAcentral
CAUGCAUGUCUAAGUAUAAGAAUUAUACCGUGAAACUGCGAAUGGCUCAUUAAAUCAGUUAUCGUUUAUUUGAUAGUACCUUACCACUUGGAUAACCGUGGUAAUUCUAGAGCUAAUACAUGCUAAAAACCCCGACUUCGGAAGGGGUGUGUUUAUUAGAUAAAAAACCAAUGCCCUUCGGGGCUCUUUGGUGAUUCAUGAUAACCUAACGGAUCGCAUGGCCUUGCGCCGGCGACGGUUCAUUCAAAUUUCUGCCCUAUCAACUUUCGAUGGUAAGGUAUUGGCUUACCAUGGUUUCAACGGGUAACGGGGAAUUAGGGUUCGAUUCCGGAGAGGGAGCCUGAGAAACGGCUACCACAUCCAAGGAAGGCAGCAGGCGCGCAAAUUACCCAAUCCCGACACGGGGAGGUAGUGACAAUAAAUACUGAUACAGGGCUCUUUUGGGUCUUGUAAUUGGAAUGAGUACAAUUUAAACCCCUUAACGAGGAACAAUUGGAGGGAAAGUCUGGUGCCAGCAGCCGCGGUAAUUCCAGCUCCAAUAGCGUAUAUUAAAGUUGUUGCAGUUAAAAAGCUCGUUGUUGAAACUUGGGUCUGGCUAGCGGGUCCGCCUCACCGCGUGCACUUGUCCGGCUGGACCUUUCCUUCUGGAGAACCUCAUGCCCUUCACUGGGUGUGUUGGGGAACCAGGACUUUUACUUUGAAAAAAUUAGAGUGUUCAAAGCAGGCCUUUGCUCGAAUACGUUAGCAUGGAAUAAUAGAAUAGGACGUGCGGUCCUAUUUUGUUGGUUUCUAGGAUCGCCGUAAUGAUUAAUAGGGAUAGUCGGGGGCAUCAGUAUUCAAUUGUCAGAGGUGAAAUUCUUGGAUUUAUUGAAGACUAACUACUGCGAAAGCAUUUGCCAAGGAUGUUUUCAUUAAUCAGUGAACGAAAGUUAGGGGAUCGAAGACGAUCAGAUACCGUCGUAGUCUUAACCGUAAACUAUGCCGACUAGGGAUCGGGCGAUGUUUCUAUCUUGACUCGCUCGGCACCUUACGAGAAAUCAAAGUUUUUGGGUUCUGGGGGGAG